GACGAACGCUGGCGGCGUGCUUAACACAUGCAAGUCGAACGGAAAGGCCCUGCUUUUGUGGGGUGCUCGAGUGGCGAACGGGUGAGUAACACGUGAGUAACCUGCCCUUGACUUUGGGAUAACUUCAGGAAACUGGGGCUAAUACCGGAUAGGAGCUCCUGCUGCAUGGUGGGGGUUGGAAAGUUUCGGCGGUUGGGGAUGGACUCGCGGCUUAUCAGCUUGUUGGUGGGGUAGUGGCUUACCAAGGCUUUGACGGGUAGCCGGCCUGAGAGGGUGACCGGCCACAUUGGGACUGAGAUACGGCCCAGACUCCUACGGGAGGCAGCAGUGGGGAAUAUUGCACAAUGGGCGGAAGCCUGAUGCAGCAACGCCGCGUGCGGGAUGACGGCCUUCGGGUUGUAAACCGCUUUCGCCUGUGACGAAGCGUGAGUGACGGUAAUGGGUAAAGAAGCACCGGCUAACUACGUGCCAGCAGCCGCGGUGAUGCGUAGGGUGCGAGCGUUGUCCGGAUUUAUUGGGCGUAAGGCUCGUAGGUGGUUGAUCGCGUCGGAAGUGUAAUCUUGGGGCUUAACCCUGAGCGUGCUUUCGAUACGGGUUGACUUGAGGAAGGUAGGGGAGAAUGGAAUUCCUGGUGGAGCGGUGGAAUGCGCAGAUAUCAGGAGGAACACCAGUGGCGAAGGCGGUUCUCUAGGCCUUUCCUGACGCUGAUGAGCGAAAGCGUGGGGAGCGAACAGGCUUAGAUACCCUGGUAGUCCACGCUGUAAACGGUGGGUACUAGGUGUGGGGUCCAUUCCACGGGUUCCGUGCCGUAGCUAACGCUUUAAGUACCCCGCCUGGGGAGUACGGCCGCAAGGCUAAAACUCAAAGGAAUUGACGGGGCCCCGCACAAGCGGCGGAGCAUGCGGAUUAAUUCGAUGCAACGCGUAGAACCUUACCUGGGUUUGACAUGGAUCGGGAGUGCUCAGAGAUGGGUGUGCCUCUUUUGGGGUCGGUUCACAGGUGGUGCAUGGCUGUCGUCAGCUCGUGUCGUGAGAUGUUGGGUUAAGUCCCGCAACGAGCGCAACCCUUGUUCACUGUUGCCAGCACGUUAUGGUGGGGACUCAGUGGAGACCGCCGGGGUCAACUCGGAGGAAGGUGGGGAUGACGUCAAGUCAUCAUGCCCCUUAUGUCCAGGGCUUCACGCAUGCUACAAUGGCUGGUACAGAGAGUGGCGAGCCUGUAAGGGUGAGCGAAUCUCGGAAAGCCGGUCUCAGUUCGGAUUGGGGUCUGCAACUCGACCUCAUGAAGUCGGAGUCGCUAGUAAUCGCAGAUCAGCAACGCUGCGGUGAAUACGUUCCCGGG
RNAcentral lists this ribosomal RNA (1341 nucleotides) under uncultured bacterium. RNAcentral's name for it is "16S ribosomal RNA". It matches the Rfam family "Bacterial small subunit ribosomal RNA", at positions 28 to 1378 of the family's 1533-position model. The record is from RNAcentral.